GUUCUGUACAGGAUUGACGACAGCUGGGUUGUACUCUGUUCUAAAGCAAAAUUUACGCAAAAUAAAUGUGGUUUUUGUCUGAGCUUAAGGGAAAUAAAGUUGCCAAAACACCAAUUGCGAAAGUGAUUUGAAUUUAAAAUUCGGGGUCUAAUUUAGAAAUGAUAAUUGCUUGCAUUGUUGGACCCUAACAUACAUGAGCAUGUAUUUUUAUAAAUUGAUGAUAGGGGAGAGGAAAUAUUGGUAAUAGAGUAUACUAAGACUGAGAUUUGAAGGUAAAAAGAUGAAUUCAUACAUAGGGUGGUAUUGUAAAAACAUGCAUGAAUCAGUGGAAGAAGAAAAUUAUAUUGA
RNAcentral lists this unclassified non-coding RNA (348 nucleotides) under Hevea brasiliensis (rubber tree). The record is from RNAcentral. Lineage: Eukaryota; Viridiplantae; Streptophyta; Magnoliopsida; Malpighiales; Euphorbiaceae.